UCAUGGAAUACCUCAUCGGCAUUCAGGGCCCCGAUUAUGUCCUUGUCGCCUCCGACCGGGUGGCCGCCAGCAACAUUGUCCAGAUGAAGGACGAUCAUGACAAGAUGUUUAAGAUGAGUGAAAAAAAUCUUACUCCUAUGUGUUGGAGAGGCUGGAGACACUGUACAGUUUGCAGAAUAUAUUCAGAAAAAUGUGCAACUUUAUAAGACGCGAAAUGGUUAUGAAUUGUCUCCCACAGCAGCAGCUAACUUCACACGCCGAAACCUGGCUGACUGUCUUCGGAGUCGGACCCCGUAUCACAUUGACCUCCUCCUGGCUGGCUACGACGAGCACGAGGGCCCAGCGCUCUACUACAUGGACUACCUGGCAGCCUUGGCCAAGGCCCCCUUUGCAGCCCACGGCUAUGGUGCCUUCCUGACUCUUAGUAUCCUGGACCGAUACUACACGCCAACUAUCUCACGUGAGGGGGCAGUGGGGCUUCUUAGGAAAUGUCUAGAGGAGAUCCAGAAACGCUUCAUCCUGAAUCUGCCAACCUUCAGUGUUCGAAUCAUUGACAAAAAUGGCAUCCAUGACAUGGCCAACAUUUCCUUCCCUAAACAGGGCUCCUAACAUCAUGCCCUGUGUCUCACGUGCCAGGGAACUUUUUUUGAUGGGCUCCUUUAUUUUUUUCUACUCUUUGGAUCUGUACUCUUGCUAGAUGGUUAAUUGAGAAUAAAGCUAAGUAUGGAUAAAC
Hipposideros armiger (great roundleaf bat) is the source of this 733-nucleotide RNA transcript. It is a transcript of the gene named proteasome subunit beta type-2 pseudogene, with no coding region annotated. The record is from RefSeq and is a predicted model, not a curated record. The transcript has a single exon. NCBI's taxonomy places the organism in Eukaryota, Metazoa, Chordata, Mammalia, Chiroptera, Hipposideridae.